GACGAACGCUGGCGGCGUGCUUAACACAUGCAAGUCGAACGGAAAGGCCCUGCUCUUGUGGGGUGCUCGAGUGGCGAACGGGUGAGUAACACGUGAGUAACCUGCCCUUGUCUUUGGGAUAACUUCAGGAAACUGCGGCUAAUACCGGAUAGAAUCUCCUGCUGCAUGGGGGUGGUUGGAAAGUUUCGGCGGUUCGGGCUGGAUUCGCGGCUUAUCAGCUUGUUGGUGGAGUAGUGGCUGACCAAGGCUUUGACGGGUAGCCGGCCUGAGAGGGUGACCGGCGACAAUGGGACUGAGAGACGGACCAGACGGCUACGGGAGGCAGCAGGGGGGAAUCUUGCACAAUAGGCGGAAGCCUGAUGCAGAAACGCCGCGUGCGGGAUGACGGCCUUCGGGUUGUAAACCGCUUUCGCCUGUGACGAAGCGUGAGUGACGGUAAUGGGUAAAGAAGCCCCGGCUAACUACGUG
Molecule: ribosomal RNA, 468 nt
Filed under: uncultured bacterium
Lineage: Bacteria
Description: partial 16S ribosomal RNA
Rfam family: Bacterial small subunit ribosomal RNA
Source: RNAcentral